RNAcentral lists this ribosomal RNA (2042 nucleotides) under Candidatus Moranbacteria bacterium RIFOXYB1_FULL_44_23. RNAcentral describes it as "partial 23S ribosomal RNA". It matches the Rfam family "Bacterial large subunit ribosomal RNA", at positions 10 to 1425 of the family's 2925-position model. Lineage: Bacteria; Candidatus Moraniibacteriota. The record is from RNAcentral.
AUGAAGAGCGUAUGGUGGAUGCCUUGACUCAAACGAGCGAAGAAGGACGUAGCGGGUUGCGAUAAGCUCCGGGGAGCUGCCGAGCAAGCUUUGAUCCGGAGAUUUCCGAAUGCGGCAACGCAAUCGUUCGUCUCACAUUUUAUGUGACACUCACUCAAAUUCAAAAUGUAAAAAUCAAAAGUCAAAAUUAAGGAAUCGCUUCGCGAUAAUUAUUUUAAAUAAUCGUGAGCGCAGCGAACACCAAAAUUUUGCACUUUGCAUUUUUAUUUUUGAAUUGUUUAUGCGACAUAAUUUCGCAUAAAGUGUGAUGCGAACGAUUAAUGCAAGCUGAAUACAUAGGCUUGUAUGGCGCACCCAGGGAACUGAAACAUCUUAGUACCUGGAGGAAAAUAAAUCUAAAAGAUUCCGUGAGUAGUGGCGAGCGAAAGCGGAGAAGCCUAAACCGUUCUGCUUCGGCAGAGCGGGGUUGCGAGGCAAUGACGUCCUAUCUUGUAAAACGUUGAAUAUAGUUGUCGGCGUUUUACUCGACGGGAGUAAAGUUACAAAUUGUUUUGCUAGCCGAACAAGUCUGGAAAGUCAGACCAAAGAGGGUAAUAGUCCCGUAGGCGAAAGCGAAACAACUUUAUUGUUAUUGUUCUCAAGUAAGGCGGGACCGGAGAAAUCCCGUCUGAAUCCGGGAGCACUAAACUUCCAAGGCUAAAUAUCGUUUGAGAUCGAUAGCGAACUAGUACCGUGAGGGAAAGGUGAAAAGAACCCCGGUGAGGGGAGUGAAAUAGAACUGAAACCAUAUGCUUACGUAGAGUCGGAGCCGCCACACCUAUCUUGGCAAAAUUUUUAGUAAUGCAAAGAAUGAAAGCGAAGCGUCUUCGCCUUUCUUUAAGUGAUUAUUCAAAGUUUAUUGUUGAGAUAGGUGUGGCGGUGACGGCGUGCUUUUUGCAGAACGAGCCAACGAGUUAAUUUUAUGCGGCAAGCCUAAGCGAUUUUAUCGCGAAGGCGCAGUGAAAGCGAGUCAUAACAGACGAAAAUAAGUCGCAUGGAUUAGACCCGAAGCCAGGCGAGCUACAUAUGAGCAGGGUGAACCCCGAGUAACAUCGGGGGGAGGCCCGAACCCACGCGCCGUACAACACGCGGGGAUGACUUGUGUGUAGAGGAGAAAUUCCAAUCGAGCUUGGCCAUAGCUGGUUCUUCCCGAAAUAGCUUGAGGGCUAGCGUCGGAUUCACCCCUCACCAUUUUUGCACGUGCAUUCACGUGCGGCACUGACCCGAAUAGGGUCGGGCUAUUCGCCCGCGUGCCGCGCAUGGGUUGCGCGAUAACCUAUAAUAUUAGUUUAUCGUGUUAGCGCUAGCAAAAAUGGUGAUGGGGUAAAUUGAUCACAGGAGGUAGAGCUACUGAAUGAGGGAUCAUGGAGCAAUCCUAGGUCUCUCAACCAAACUCCGAAUGCCUGAUGAUUUUAUCCCGACAGUCAGAGCGUGGGGGCUAAGCUUCACGUUCAAGAGGGAAACAGCCCAGAUCGCAGUCUAAGGUCCCUAAAUCUAUGUUAAGUGGUAAAGGAAGUGAAGUUUCCUAGACACCUAGGAGGUUGGCUUAGAAGCAGCCAUCCUUUAAAGAGUGCGUAACAGCUCACUAGUCUAGAGAUUUUGCGCCGAAAAUUCAACGGGGCUAAAACAUAGUACCGAAGACGCGGAUGUCAGUGCGAGGCACUGGAAUUUUGAAAAUCGAAUUUUGAAUUUCGAAUGAAUUUUUAAUGAUUUAAUUUUUGAUAAUUAAAACAUUAAGACAUUCGAAUUUAAUUCAAAAUUUAAAAUUAACAAAUUUGAAAUUCCAAUGCUUUGCAUUGGCGUGGUAGGGAAGUGUCCUCAUCUGCUGCGAAGCCGAAGGCGUGAGCCACGGUGGAGCGUUGAGGAGUAAGAAUGUUGGCAUGAGUAACCGCAAUUACGGUGAGAACCCGUGACGCCGAAAGUCCAAGGUUUCCUGGGCAAUGUCGAUCAACCCAGGGUUAGGCGAUCCUAAGGCGAGGCCGAAAGGCGUAGUCGAUGGACAG